UCAAGUGCCAACGAAAGCAAGGUAUCAUUUCGUCAAAUAAUUAUAUUAGUGAGAUUUUAUCUCUAUCUUUAUUGUAUAUUAUUUUUAUCUUGAAACAUAAAGAGGGUAUAAUUUUUUAUUGACAAUGUCAUAUUUAUUUAUUUUGUCUUAUGAAAAAAGGAGAUGUGAAUUGACUUGUGAUUCCUCCAUUACAUUUACAUAUCAUUUUUGUUAUUUUAUAAGGAAGGUGUGAUUCCCUUAUUGAAAUUGAUUGCAUUUACUUAUUUUUUUCGAGGGAUGUGAUUCCUCCAUUAUAUAUACUAUCGUUUUUGAUGUUUUACUAAAGACGGGGUGUAAUUCUGCUAUUGAAAUUAUUGUGUUUAUUUUUUUUUUCAUGAGGGGUGUGAUUCUUUAUUAUAUUUUAUUUGUUUUGUGAUAUGAUCGAUGAGGUGUGAUUCCUCUAUAAGUAAUGUUAUAGUUACUUAUAUUCGUGAUGAUUUUUUUAUUUUGUAGGAAUUUGUUAUUGAUUUUUGUGAAUCGAAAUGGAUAGAUAUUUUUCUCCUCAACCAAGUUCUAGUUUUAAAGACAAUUCUCCCCAUCUUAUAGAAGAGUUUGAUGUGAAUUCACUUAAAUCCGAUCCUGGAGAAAGAAAACCAAUUCAUGAAUAUCACUCUACGAUACGAGAUCAAGUGAGAAGACACUAUAUUCAACAAGGACCUUGUCAAUCGAUUCUUUCUCAAUUUCCUC
RNAcentral lists this long non-coding RNA (726 nucleotides) under Capsicum annuum. RNAcentral's name for it is "long non-coding RNA (CANN_LNC021404)". Lineage: Eukaryota; Viridiplantae; Streptophyta; Magnoliopsida; Solanales; Solanaceae. The record is from RNAcentral.